RNAcentral lists this unclassified non-coding RNA (200 nucleotides) under uncultured fungus. Its description in RNAcentral is "sequence contains ITS1". Lineage: Eukaryota; Fungi. The record is from RNAcentral.
UUGAUUCAUUUUCUUGUGAGACUCAGAAUAUGCCACUAUAAUACAAGAGUUUGGGUCCCCCGGCGGGCGCCUGGUUCCGGCGGCCCUCGCGGGCCUUCCGGGGCGUUAACCCGCCGAAGCAACAGUAAAGGUAUAAGUUCACAGGGGUUUGGGAGUAGAAUAACUCGGUAAUGAUCCCUCCGCUGGUUCACCAACGGAGA